This is an RNA transcript of Parus major (Great Tit), 6823 nucleotides long. It is a transcript of the gene named lysozyme g, with no coding region annotated. The record is from RefSeq and is a predicted model, not a curated record. Lineage: Eukaryota; Metazoa; Chordata; Aves; Passeriformes; Paridae. The transcript has 5 exons.
GAGGCAAGCAUUCUCCUGAAUGAAUUCCUCACCAAGUUAUCGAGGGACACAGGAGACAAUCCCAGCUAGGGUGCUCAGCUACCACCAGCCAUCAUCUCAGUGGUUCCAAGCACUGGGGGGCAUUGAGUGGGAAUAGCCCUCUAAAAUAAAUGCAGAGGCUCUGCUUCUCCUCUCCCACACCAGCCUUUAGACCUAAUGGAGCAGGUUCAUAUUCAUCUAAAUGGUCAUUAGAACCCUUUGCUUCAAUAUUCAGUUAGAAAAGAACCAAUUUCUGCUCUCUACCUUUCUUUGAUAACAUUACCGAUGGAGAGCGGUGGCAACCAUACAAGCAGGGCCACCACAAGGGGAUGUGGAUUGCAGGUCUGGACUCUCUCAUGCUUGACUUGUAUGCACGUGCAGGACUUGAACAAAACUGCUCUAAGAUCUUAUGUGCUCAAACACCUUCACUUAAUAUUUCAGCUCCCUCUGUGAGUUCCAGUUGCUAUGGCGAUAUAAGAGCUGUACAAGUCCCCAUGGUCUCCUGUACAAGAGAUCCUGCAAGAUCCUCUGAUUGUGGAUAUGCCAUGAUACAAAGGACUGCAGAGCCAGACCUCGUACGCCUGAGGAGAUAUGAGAUCCCAAUUAAGAGAGUAGCCAGAAACCUGUGCUUGGACCCAGCGCUCAUCGGUGCCAUCAUGUCCCAGGACAGCCGUGUUGGCCUGCUCCUGGACAACGGCUGGGACCAGGGACGGCAGAAGUACGGCCUGAUGCAGAUCAGCAGGCAACUGCGACCUUAUGCAGUGUGGGAUAGUGAAGAACACAUAAAUCAAGGCUCAAAUAUGCUGGUUCUUUCCCUUAAUGAAGUACGGGCAAGACAUCCUACCUGGACUUGGGACCGGCAGCUGAGAGGGGGUAUCUGCACCUACCAUGCAAGAAUGGGCAACCUCCCUGUCUACGAGGCAGACCCAUGCAGCAGAGACUACAGCUAUGCCAACAACGUGAUUAGGCGAGCCCAGUACUUUAAGAGACAUGGGUUCUAGGUCGUAAACCCACCGAGCCUCCCCUCUGCAGACUGGCCCAGCAGUGAUAGUAGUAACCCAGAGCAGUUCCUCAGUCUCCUGGCAGGACUGAUGCUGGUGGCAUUACCAAUGCCACCUUGCUGGCUCCAGCAAAUCCCAGCCCCCGGCUCGCUGAUGGGCAAAAUCAGCACUGCCUUCCAGGAGACCCCCCAGGGAUGAGAUCCCACAAGCUCGGGGCCUUUGAAAGGCAGAUAGGGACAGACCAGUUCAAUGUUUAAAUUAUGAGUGAGGAAGGUGACUCUUCCCAUUCAGAGCUGAACCUCAGGGCGGUUUGUGCAUCUCCCAGACAUGGAGACAAACAGCUCUUCCUGGGCAUCAGCUGUGCUCUCCCCAUCUGCGUCCACCUCCUUCCCUCUCCAUGGCCAAUGCAGGGGAUGAACACCCUGUUUGCCUUCCCUUGGUGCUGCUGGCUAAGGAGCAAUGAAGAGACUUCUCAGUGAGCCUUUGGUCUCUGCAGGAGCAGUUUUCCUGUAGCCAGCCUUGAGGGAGACAAUAUUAAAACAUGCUUUGGUUGGUCUCCACGGCCAUGAUGCAACUGUGGAGCUCACCAGGGCAUCUAUAUGGAAAAUAUUGCAAGUGCCACAGCAGGCAAAAUGCCUUUCUGUCAGAGAGCAGCCCUUGGAGCAGGAGUCAGCCCCAUGCAUACCCGUGCCGGGAGCUGUAUCACAGCAAUAGUUUUGGUAAAACCCCCACAACCUUUCCUGCCUUAGCUUUGGCACAUUUAUGCUGAGUUUCCUCCAAAUUUAAAAGCAUUUCAGCAUCUGUCCCUCUGCCAGGAUUCCCAGUUUGUAAAAGAAGUGAAUGAGCUCUGGUCUGUUUGAAAGUGGAUGGGUCUCUCGGUGCCAAUUUAUUAAUUAGAGAACAAAAAUGAGAAUAAAAUAGAAAUAAAGAUAAGUGUUAAAUCCCAACGUUUAUUUUUUUCAGUUUCAUGGGGCUUGGUGGGUAGCAAUCUACUUGAGUAAAUAACCCCUUUGAGUACUCUUGGAAGGGGUCUAAAACUCAGUUUGAGAACAGGGAGUGAAUAAUGGUUCUGCAGACUGGAUAGGUCAGAAGAGCUGGGCCUGAGCCUGCCUGCUGACCCAAACUCGUGAACAUGGUAAUAGGAAUAUUCACAUUUCAAAUUACCAUUUUGGAGGUGUCAGGGUACUUUUCUUCCAGCUGCCACCAUUGCUGAUGCAGAAGUGAUGUGCCUGGCAGUCCUUGCUGGCAGCAAGGGGCAGUGCGGUGCAUGUGCCUGGGCUGCUAGGCAGGGUCAACACAGGCAGCAUGAGAGUUGAAUUGCAGACAGCUUUUGCAAGCAGAGCAAUUUUAAUGCUGUUCCCCUUGUCUUGCCAAUCACUCAUCUGCUUACCAUCAUGGCAAGGACAGCAUAAUUAGCAUAUGUUACUAGAAAACUAAUUUUAUCACCUCUGGAGACCAGAGGGAACCAUUGGUUGUCUCAAAUGUCACUGAUUUUUUUUUUUCUUUUUAAGACUACCAUAAACAGUUCAGUGUUGAGCAACCACAGAUAUUGAAUUAUAUUUUACUUAGUCUUUAGUGAAUUCUGAACUAUAUUAUAAUUUCACUAAAAUCAUUACUUUGUAAUACAAACUUAUGAAAUGUAUCACAUGGUUGCCUACUUGACAUAACUUAUGUAAAAUUCAUAGGAUGAAGUCUUUAGUGUAUUAUGUUAUGUAAACCUCUGUGUUACAUAAGCCUCUUAUGUAAAGCCUAUGAAUUAAUUUUUUGGUAGAUGAGUAUAAACUUCAGAUGGAGCAGGGAAUCUCAUUGCUGCCUAUGUGUACAAAACUGGGGGUUGAGUUCCAAGGGUGAACAAGAGUGGAGCUUUCUUUGGUUGCCUUCAUGUCAUCCUCAGUUGCUGCCAGCAAGCUCCUUGUCACCACUACUGGUGCUGCCAGCCCUGCAGAUCUCUGAGCGCCUCAGGAGUCCAAUUUGUGCAAGUGUUACCUAUGAAGCUGCUGCUUCAUGUUGUGGUAGCAUAGCAACACCCAAGGACCUGCCUGCUGAGCAGGUUUCCAAAUGUUGUUUUAGGGUAUCAGCACUUUGCAGUGAAUACAGAAAAUCUCUGCAGAAAAUGAGUUAAAGCUUGAUAAAUUGGUAGGAAGGAGUAAAUAAUUAAGGAAAGUUUAACAGUAGCAUGCUGCCUUAAAUUGUGAGCAAGAGGUUUCCUGACAAAUAAUGAGCUCAGAUUGUUGUUCCCUUCUGAUCUUUUUCUAGUCAUGUUACUGGAAGUUUUUUUCUGCCUGAUGUAGACAGAGCAGAUGCAGUCACACUCUUGGUCACCCUUUUGAUCCAUGGCCUGGUGAAAAAAAACAAAACCAAAAACAAUAGACAUCUUGCGAAGCAAAUGAUCUAAUACCAAGUAACAGAUCAGAAAAAGUGGAAGCACGGGCAAGGAAAAACAAAAGCCACAUCAGAGGGGAAAGAAAGGUCCAGGGAAUCAAUGACCAAGACACCUGCCUGAAACAUUGAGGAAGGUGCUAGAGUAAAGGAUUGAAUGGUUCCUUCAAGAGAUCCAGUGGAACAACAAAGCAGCAAGAAACUGUAAGGAGGGUUCUGGCAUCCUGGCUUGGCAGGGAAAAACCAUCUCAGAUCAAUUAAAAUCUUUAUCUAAUGGAGUCAGUGGUCAAGAGAGAAGCCAUGGUUGUGCCAUAUCAUGCCAUGCCUGUUGCACCAACAAAAGUAUGCUCAGGACAAUAACAACCCUGAUGGAAAGUAUAGCCUGUGGAAAUAGGGAAUUAGAUUUUUUUUUCCCAAAAUAUAAAGAGAGAAAGCACAGAGUUAUGAUUUUCUAAUAUGCAAAAGAAAUGAAGGGCAAUGACCUACAUCCUUCCAUUCCCUUUGAGGGUAAGACAAAUAGCAGUGAGUUCAGCAGCAGAUUUGUUGGAUAAUUUAAAAAAAAACCUUUCAGGAUAAUGAAGCAACGCAAUAUUUCCUGGGUGUUUUAAAUAACAUUCAAGAUCAACAUGUAAAAGUAGCUGUACAUCAUAUAUAAUCACAGAAUGGUUUGAGUUUAAAGGAUCUUAAAGAUCACCAAGUUCCAGCUCCUCUGCCACAGGUAGGGACACUUUCCAUUAGACCAGGUUGCUCAGGGCACCAUCCAACCUGGCCUUAAACACUUCCAAGGAUGGAGCAUCCCAUCCACAACUUCUCUGGACAACUUAUUCCAGUGCCCCACACUGUGAGUGUUCACAAUAACAAAUUUCUUCCUAAUAUCUAAUCUAAACCUGCUUUUUUUGCCAUCAUGUUUUGUAGAGAGGGGAAAUGCAAUAGAUGUUGUUUAAGGACCUUUCCAGGCUAACACUGCCGAAUCAGAGUCAGCAGUCAGAAAAUGGAAAACAAAUUACAGACACUGAAGAAAACCUUUCUCUGUUGGGGUCCAGUGAUUUGGUUUUACAACUGAUGUUACUACUGGGAAAUCUAUUUAAAUGUGCUUCCUACAAUAGAGAGCAAGUGUGAGGUGGAGUCUUUCUCUCUCAUCAACUUGUUAAGCUGCAGGUGGCAUGGGCUGAUCCCUCAGUGGCUCAGGCAGGGAUCUGCUGGGAGUCUGGACCUGCAAUGACUGGCUUUCAAAGAAACCAGGCAGAGGGACCAAUUAAACUAAUUACCUCUUUCAGCAGUAACUGAAGCAGCAGGAAAGCAGUGUCAAAAGCAAGGCCCUGUUGGGUCAGAGCACUAAGCCACGUGGGAGAACAGAUUUUUCCAAUGGUUGAUUCCAAAUGCUGCAGCUGGGUCUGUUUGAGCCACGUGUCCAUGUCUGUCUCUGAGAUAUGCUGAAAACAAAGGGAAACACAAGCAGAUCAACACAGUGCUGAAUUACUGUGUUUGUUCUGCUUUGUUACUCAUUGCAAAACUGGGCUGGGAUUUCCUAGCCAGCAACUUGUCCCCAGGAUAGCGCCUCUUACAUUGCCUAGGAUGGGCACCAACCUGUGGUCCCAGGGACCCCUAUGGAGCUAAUGCUGCAGCUGGGGGUAACUGUUUCUAAUACUUCCCUCAGUUUAUUUAAUUGCCUUCCUUGAAACUGAAUAUUCCCACAUUGGAUACCCAGGGUCUGUUUUCUCCCAUUUCAGUGUUGAAAGAGAUCAUGUUGUAGGAUUGCAACCUCAGAGCAGUUUUCCACCAGCAUCCCUCAAACAAAAUCCUUGCGCCUCUCUCUAGCAUUUGUUUCUGUGGAUUCCUCAACCAGCUCAUCCUAAAGCAGGGAUUUAUUGCAACCAAAAAUUCUGCUUCUGCACCUCAUCCUGACGAGGCACUGAUCCAGCCAGUAUGCAGGCUCCCACUCAUGCCAGCAGCCCACAUUUACUGCUCCUCUGGCCUCACUGACUGCUCCCACAGAACUCAAAAAUGGUAGUACAGUUCUACUACAGCGUUUUUAUCAGUGGCAACUGGGAUUUCCACCCACAGGUUUUUAGGGUGCUUCUCUUUUCCUGUUUUUAGAUACAUUUUAUAUUUUUAUGCUGUAACAUUUUUAUCCUUCACAUCCAGAAUCACUCCACCACCUCUACAUCCUACUCGGUUGUUCCUGUGAGGCUGGCAGUGCUGUAUCUCAUUGGUGUUCUAGCCUCCACUAAGUCUCUGAGAUACCUUCUGUCUCAGGGUUGUCAUUUGGUUCAGGCUUUUGGGUUCUGGCUUGAUUUUGAAGUCUCUAGCAACUGUACAAAACUGUACAAAAACCCCUGUAAGUUUAUCUUUGCUUUGUUGCUUAAUACUGCAUAUGCCAAAUCCUUGCCACUGUAUUCUUUCUAUUUUGUCUUCCUCAUGUAUCAUGAUCAUGCUGUCUAUUUCCCCCGUCUUUUUUUUCAGAGGUAAACUGAACAUCAGCCUUGUCCACCUUGCAGAUCACAGGAGUUCAAACUGGAUACUCCUCUGGAUUUGUCAGCUUUCCCCUGCUUCUAGUGGAAAAGUUCCUCUAAAAGCUCUUCAAUUUCCAGUGACAUGGGUUGUCUAUGCCACAGCUCAGGUGCAGCCUGCCCCUUCUACACUGCACCUCUCAUCUAUGUUUUGUCAGUUCCUCACAUGUCUCAACCAUCUACAAAUCCCUGUAUUUCCCUAUGAGGGAAAGGCUGUCAGCUUGCAGCCUCAGGACACAGACCUUCUUCCAGCAUCCAGAGUACUGUGCCAUCCUAACACGGGCUGGAUGUGCUUGCCUCUGUUUCAAACUUCUUUACACUCAGCCAUAAUUGUGAGUGUGAAGAGCCCCAUGCCUGAGCUGCUGUGAAUUUUUGCAGCUGGUUCUCUAUGGGAGGUAUCAACAGUACAGCAAAAACUUACAGAAUCUCUCAGUGCAAUGACACGGGACGAAUUCCCCCGCUAGAAAUGUAGAAGAGCUGCUGAAAGAGCAGAACAGCAUUUCACGCCCACAUAAUGUGCCAUGGGGGAGAAGCGGGUCAGGAUACAUUCUGCCGCGGGAGUUCUGCCAUCCGGUGGUUGUUUUCCUUACUGCUGCACAGCUACAGUGAAAUCCAUCCUCACUGCCUGCUAAUUUGGGGUUGUUGACCUUUGUUGUCUCUGUGCAAGAGGGGAUAAAAACAGGGGCCUGGCACAGUCUCUGCAUAUCCGAAUUCUCAGCAGUUGCAGCUCUGGUCAUGUUAUUGUUCCUGGAACUUUGCCUGCAAAAAUUUGAUUAAAUCCAGAAGCGCAUUUUCCCAUUGUCAGCGUGUUAUUGCUCCCAAGAACCGAAGAGGAGCAGAUGUUUUCAGACAAGGUUCCUCCUAGCUCCAAACUUAGUAAUGGGACUUUAAAUUAAAGCUGUUUCAUGUUUUAAA